Molecule: ribosomal RNA, 213 nt
Filed under: Staphylococcus aureus
Lineage: Bacteria; Bacillati; Bacillota; Bacilli; Caryophanales; Staphylococcaceae
Description: partial 16S ribosomal RNA
Rfam family: Bacterial small subunit ribosomal RNA
Source: RNAcentral
UAAUACAUGCAAGUCGAGCGAACGGACGAGAAGCUUGCUUCUCUGAUGUUAGCGGCGGACGGGUGAGUAACACGUGGAUAACCUACCUAUAAGACUGGGAUAACUUCGGGAAACCGGAGCUAAUACCGGAUAAUAUUUUGAACCGCAUGGUUCAAAAGUGAAAGACGGUCUUGCUGUCACUUAUAGAUGGAUCCGCGCUGCAUUAGCUAGUUG